Molecule: ribosomal RNA, 883 nt
Filed under: Amanita sp. 'cruentilemurum'
Lineage: Eukaryota; Fungi; Basidiomycota; Agaricomycetes; Agaricales; Amanitaceae
Description: eukaryotic LSU rRNA
Rfam family: Eukaryotic large subunit ribosomal RNA
Source: RNAcentral
CUAACAAGGAUUCCCUUAGUAACUGCGAGUGAAGAGGGAAAAGCUCAAAUUUAAAAUCUGGCAGUGUUUCACUGUCCGAGUUGUAACCUAGAGAAGUGUAACCUGCGCUGGACCGUGUAUAAGUCUCCUGGAAUGGAGCAUCACAGAGGGUGAGAAUCCCGUCUUUGACAUGGACCACCAGUGCAUUGUGGUUGUGCUCUCAACGAGUCGAGUUGUUUGGGAAUGCAGCUCUAAAUGGGUGGUAAAUUCCAUCUAAAGCUAAAUAUUGGCGAGAGACCGAUAGCGAACAAGUACCGUGAGGGAAAGAUGAAAAGAACUUUGGAAAGAGAGUUAAACAGUAUGUGAAAUUGUUGAAAGGGAAACGUUUGAAGUCAGUCGCGUUGGUUGGGGAUCAGCCUGACAUUGUUGGGUUUACUUCCUGGUCGACGGGCCAACAUCAGUUUUGACUGCCAGAAAAAGGCCAAAGGAAUGUGGCACCUUUGGGUGUGUUAUAGCCCUUGGUCGUAUAUGGUGGUUGGGACUGAGGAAAGCAGCGUGCCGAAAGGCCGGGUUUCGACCACGUUCACGCUGAGGAUGUUGGCAUAAUGGCUUUAAGCGACCCGUCUUGAAACACGGACCAAGGAGUCUAACAUGCAUGCGAGUGUUUGGGUGGAAAACCCUUACGCGUAAUGAAAGUGAAAGUUGAGAUCCCUGUCGCGGGGAGCAUCGACGCCCGGACCAGAACUUUUGGGACGGAUCUGCGGUAGAGCACGUAUGUUGGGACCCGAAAGAUGGUGAACUAUGCCUGAAUAGGGUGAAGCCAGAGGAAACUCUGGUGGAGGCUCGUAGCGAUUCUGACGUGCAAAUCGAUCGUCAAAUUUGGGUAUAGGGGCGAAAGACUAAU